Molecule: long non-coding RNA, 936 nt
Organism: Suricata suricatta (meerkat)
Lineage: Eukaryota; Metazoa; Chordata; Mammalia; Carnivora; Herpestidae
Exons: 2
Source: RefSeq, a predicted model, not a curated record
GCUGCACUCCCCGAGAGCUGCCCUGACUCUCUGCGCCCAGGCCUCCUGACUAGGCAUGAGAAACGAGAAUGAUUAGGCUCCGUCCCCAUUAGCCAGGAAGUGGCUGCUGGAAGCCGUGGGGUUUCAGGCUGGGAGAGGGGCUGCGUCUGCUGGGGAAGGGCUUUGAAACAAAAGACCAGCCGGAGGUGGAUGGCGCUUAGGUUCCUCCUCGCGAUGAUCCUGACGAUGAGCUAGACGUGAACGCCCUCAUUUGGGACCCAGGAAGCUGAGGCCCUGGGUAAUCAAGGACUUGCUGAAGGUCGUGUGUACGGCAUCGCCCACUGCUGUCCCUGCGCUCGGCUGGCUGGUCCCUCGCCUGAUCCCUGUCCCGGUCCUGACCCGGACCCUCCAGACGUCACGGGAGAGAUCCCGGACCCCGCUCCUUGGGGAGACAGCCUGUGCAAGACCGCGGGGCUGCCCCCUCCUUGGGGAAGAGACGAGACGGACAAGAUGGACAGACACCGGAGCCAUUGGGUCCCCCCAGCCGCAUGUCCUGCGCUGUGACCAACGGUGGCACACGGAGCACGUAUUCCCUGGGGUUCACGAAAGGGGCAGCUGCGGGUGGUGUUGCUUCGCAUUCUGGACCGCAGCCCUGGGACCAGCUCUUUCUGCUGCAAACGCCUGGUGGCCGCUGUCCGGCGGCAGCGGUGCUCAGAACCGGGCGCAGGCUGGCUCUGCAGGAGGCCCCAGAGCCUGGGCACAGCUGCUGGGGGCCCAGCCCUGCCGGCGACCCUCCCGCGCCCGCUCUUCCCCUCUGUGGAAGCAGAUGUCUGCCUUUGGCUGCCGGCCAGCCUGGCAUCAGCGACCCGCAUGACAGCAGGCAGUGGCUGUGUAGUCCGAGCAAGGCACUGUACCUUUCUGAGUUUCAGUCCCCUCUUGAAUAAAUGCCUCUCGACA